AAAUGACCUCAAAUCAGGUAAGAAUACCCGCUGAACUUAAGCAUAUCAAUAAGCGGAGGAAAAGAAAAUAACAAUGAUUCCCUUAGUAACGGCGAGUGAAGGGGGAAAAGCUCAAAUUUUAAAUCUGCUAGGUUUUACCUGUCAGAAUUGUAAUUUGAAGAAGCGUUUUCCGCGUCUCGGUUGGCCCAAAUCCUUUGGAAUAAGGUAUCAUGGAGGGUGAGAAUCCCGUUCGGUUGACCUUAAGACGCACUACGAUACGCUUUCUAAGAGUCGAGUUGUUUGGGAUUGCAGCUCAAAAUGGGAGGUAAAUUUCUCCUAAGGCUAAAUAUUGGCGAGAGACCGAUAGCGAACAAGUACCGUGAGGGAAAGAUGAAAAGAACUUUGAAAAGAGAGUAAAAUAGUACGUGAAAUUGUUGAAAGGGAAACGAUUGAAGUCAGUCGUACCGACGAGAAAUCAGCUUAUCGUGUGUUAACUUGUGGGCGUGCGUGAGUUUCGGCCUCGCUGUUUGCAUGUUUGUCCGCUUUGGGUGUACUUUUUCGUAUGGUUGGCCAACAUCAGUUUCGAUCACUAUAAAAUGACUGGCGGAAUGUAGCUUCGAUUUCGGUUGAAGUGUUAUAGCCUCUGGUAGAUGUGGUAAUUGGGACUGAGGAUUGCAACGAAUAUCCUUUGGGCUAUCCGUCUGGCCUCUGAAAGUUGCUUGGGUGCUGAAAGCUUGCUUAUGGUUAUCUAAGUUAACGGUCAAUAGGUUAGAACGUGAUUACAUUCGUUAAGGAUGUUGGCGUAAUGGCUUUAAACGACCCGUCUUGAAACACGGACCAAGGAGUCUAACAUAUGUGCGAGUGUU
Molecule: ribosomal RNA, 845 nt
Filed under: uncultured Glomeromycotina
Lineage: Eukaryota; Fungi; Glomeromycota
Description: eukaryotic LSU rRNA
Rfam family: Eukaryotic large subunit ribosomal RNA
Source: RNAcentral